This is a long non-coding RNA of Mustela lutreola (European mink), 1503 nucleotides long. RefSeq lists it as uncharacterized. The record is from RefSeq and is a predicted model, not a curated record. The transcript is spliced from 3 exons. Lineage: Eukaryota; Metazoa; Chordata; Mammalia; Carnivora; Mustelidae.
GUGGAUCGAGACAGCUCUACUGUAUGCGUGGAUCCGUGUGUGUCUGCGAGGCGCCGGCUCUCGGGCCGUGCUCGUGCCUGGAGCGGGGACACUGCGCAGGACGCCGAGCGUCCCCCGAGCCCCGGCGCGGUCGGGCGCCCGUUGUCGCUGUCCCCGCCGUGCUCCGGGCUCCCCAAGCCCGCACCGGGGAGGCUGGGGAAGCGGAGGCGGCCCCGGGAGAGCCAGGGCGGCCGUAGUAAUCGCGCGUAGUAGUUUGGGGGUAUGUGGAGAAGGUGCUGGAAUGUAACCGUGCCUCCGCCUGCCGGAGCCAGCCUGCAGAGGGAAAGGGAGGGGACAGGCGGAGGGCUCCCGGGGGGGGGCACCAGAGCGGCUGGCGGCACGGUCUUGACCGUGAAAGAAGAAACAGGCAUCGUCCUGCCGGCUGAAACUUUUUCUCCCCAACCCCCACUCAAGUCCACAGGCUGGCUCUUCUCUCCCACCUCGCAUUUAAGAGCGAUUAAGGCUCCGCACAGUGGAUUGCCGGCACUUGGCAGUUGGGCGACCUCUUGUUCCAAUUCUCCUUGAAAUACAGUUCUUUGGCUGGCGGAAUAGUUGCAGAAUUGACUCUUGGAGCAGGCCUGUCUGAAACGCAGUUCUAGGAUGCUGGGAACUGGGCACUGGAGAAGUUGAAGACAAGAAACAAGGCUGCAUCGGCUCAUGAAAUGGCAAAAUCUGUUUACGUGGCUGGCCCAUUGCGAGGGGAAGCAAAAGUCUGCAAGGCCACCAAGUUCAGGAGCCAAGGAGUGUCCAUGUCAGCAUCCCGUAGUUUCUGAGGCUUUGUGACCUGCUUGAUAACUUCAGCGUUAUACUUUCCCAUCUAUCCCAAAGUGAACCUCGGGAUAACAAAAGAGAACGCAUCUAAGAGAAAUAGGAUAGAGUAUGCCCUAAAGGACUGACUGUUAGAACUUGUUUUUCUGCCUGAGGAUAUGCCAGGAUAACUUUUCCCCAGGAAACAGACAUCGAGAAACCUUGAAAUUAGCAAUGUAGUAAAAGUAUAACUUCUAACUGCCUCAUAAACCGCAACUAAUAAUAUAGCCAGAUAAUCUAGUUGUCAGUAAGAGGGCCCUCACCUAAUGGCAAUGCUUAUUAUAUUAGCUAAUAAUAGGUUCUAAUUUUUUUUUCAGGCCCAAUUUGUUUGUCUGGCACACCAACCUCACACUUAUCCUUCCUUGUGCGUAAGUACCUUUGAUCCCUUUAGGAUUCCAUCUUCACCGGCCAUGCCACAUUUCAAAGAGAGAACAAUCUUCUUAGUAAGACACUGGAGGAAGAGACUGGCCAUUCCUCCUGGCGUUUUGUCAGAGGGAGAGUGGAGAAGAAAAGGCUUGCUUUGCUACCCGUGUAUAUUCCUCGGCUCAUAUAACAUUUUGGUGCAGCGCUUGGAAGGACUGCUAUCAAUGCAUUCUAUACUCAACUAUGGGAACUGAAAAAUAAAAUCUGUCUCUGGGAGCAGAGCUUAAAUACAGA